UACCAGCACCCCGAGUGGUCGGGACGUUUAUUGGGCCUAAAGCAUCCGUAGCCGGUUCUACAAGUCUUCCGUUAAAUCCACCUGCUUAACAGAUGGGCUGCGGAAGAUACUAUAGAGCUAGGAGGCGGGAGAGGCAAGCGGUACUCGAUGGGUAGGGGUAAAAUCCGUUGACCCAUUGAAGACCACCAGUGGCGAAGGCGGCUUGCCAGAACGCGCUCGACGGUGAGGGAUGAAAGCUGGGGGAGCAAACCGG
This 253-nucleotide ribosomal RNA is filed under the name uncultured bacterium. RNAcentral's name for it is "partial 16S ribosomal RNA". It matches the Rfam family "Archaeal small subunit ribosomal RNA", at positions 474 to 727 of the family's 1478-position model. The record is from RNAcentral.